CCUACGGGUGGCAGCAGUGAGGAAUAUUGGUCAAUGGCCGGAAGGCUGAACCAGCCAUGCCGCGUGAAGGGCAGGGACCUAUGGGCGUUAAACUUCUUUUGUGCGGGAGCAAGAAUGGUCACGGGUGGCCAGACGAGAGUACCGUACGAAUAAGCAUCGGCGAACUCCGUGCCAGCAGCCGCGGUAAGACGGGGGAUGCAAGCGUUAUCCGGAGUUAGUGGGUUUAAAGGGUGCGUCGGCUGUGAGGUAAGGCAGCGGUGAAAUGCCCCCGCUCAACGGGGUGAAGUGCCAUUGAUACUGCCUUGCUGGACUGCGGAUGCCGUGGGAGGAAUGUGUGGUGUCGCGGU
This 347-nucleotide ribosomal RNA is filed under the name uncultured bacterium. RNAcentral's name for it is "partial 16S ribosomal RNA". It matches the Rfam family "Bacterial small subunit ribosomal RNA", at positions 338 to 682 of the family's 1533-position model. The record is from RNAcentral.